UACGAAGGGUGCAAACGUUGCUCGGAAUUAUUGGGCGUAAAGCGCACGUAGGCGGUAUUGCAAGUCGGAUGUGAAAUCCCUCGGCUUAACCAAGGAAGUGCAUCCGAAACUGCAGUACUUGAGUACGAAAGAGGAUCGCGGAAUUCCCGGUGUAGAGGUGAAAUUCGUAGAUAUCUGGAGGAACACCGGUGGCGAAGGCGGCAUCCUGGACCAAUACUGACGCUGAGGAGCGAAAGCCAGGGGAGCAAACGGG
This 253-nucleotide ribosomal RNA is filed under the name uncultured bacterium. RNAcentral describes it as "partial 16S ribosomal RNA". It matches the Rfam family "Bacterial small subunit ribosomal RNA", at positions 524 to 776 of the family's 1533-position model. The record is from RNAcentral.